AACCUUAUGGACCUGCGGGCGUAUACCUGCGGAAGGAUCAUUACCGAGUUUACAACUCCCAAACCCCUGUGAACAUACCACUUGUUGCCUCGGCGGAUCAGCCCGCUCCCGGUAAAACGGGACGGCCCGCCAGAGGACCCCUAAACUCUGUUUCUAUAUGUAACUUCUGAGUAAAACCAUAAAUAAAUCAAAACUUUCAGCAAUGGAUCU
Molecule: unclassified non-coding RNA, 210 nt
Filed under: soil metagenome
Description: partial contains 5.8S ribosomal RNA, internal transcribed spacer 2, and large subunit ribosomal RNA
Source: RNAcentral